Molecule: ribosomal RNA, 500 nt
Filed under: uncultured bacterium
Lineage: Bacteria
Description: bacterial SSU rRNA
Rfam family: Bacterial small subunit ribosomal RNA
Source: RNAcentral
CUGGCUCAGAUGAACGCUGGCGGCAUGCCUUACACAUGCAAGUCGAACGGUAACAGGUCUUCGGAUGCUGACGAGUGGCGAACGGGUGAGUAAUACAUCGGAACGUGCCCGAUCGUGGGGGAUAACGAGGCGAAAGCUUUGCUAAUACCGCAUACGAUCUACGGAUGAAAGCGGGGGAUCUUCGGACCUCGCGCGGACGGAGCGGCCGAUGGCAGAUUAGGUAGUUGGUGGGAUAAAAGCUUACCAAGCCGACGAUCUGUAGCUGGUCUGAGAGGAUGAUCAGCCACACUGGGACUGAGACACGGCCAGACUCCUACGGGAGGCAGCAGUGGGGAAUUUUGGGCAAUGGGCGAAAGCCUGAUCCAGCCAUGCCGCGUGCAGGAUGAAGGCCUUCGGGUUGUAAACUGCUUUUGUACGGAACGAAAAGCCUCUUUCUAAUAAAGAGGGGUCAUGACGGUACCGUAAGAAUAAGCACCGGCUAACUACGUGCCAGCCGCGGC